AAACGACUCUCGGCAACGGAUAUCUCGGCUCUCGCAUCGAUGAAGAACGUAGCGAAAUGCGAUACUUGGUGUGAAUUGCAGAAUCCCGGGAACCAUCGAGUCUUUGAACGCAAGUUGCGCCCGAAGCCUUUAGGCCGGGGGCACGUCUGCCUGGGUGUCACGCACGGU
Molecule: ribosomal RNA, 168 nt
Filed under: Couepia guianensis
Lineage: Eukaryota; Viridiplantae; Streptophyta; Magnoliopsida; Malpighiales; Chrysobalanaceae
Description: 5.8S ribosomal RNA
Rfam family: 5.8S ribosomal RNA
About the family: 5.8S ribosomal RNA (5.8S rRNA) is a component of the large subunit of the eukaryotic ribosome. It is transcribed by RNA polymerase I as part of the 45S precursor that also contains 18S and 28S rRNA.
Source: RNAcentral